GCCAACUCAAAAUCAUCAAUUCCAUUUAGAUGGGGAGUCGUUUUUCUCUGCCAAUUUCCCUUCCAAAUUGCUUCCAUUAAAGUUUGGUUGGGUUGCAGAGCUGGUGACCUUACAACUCAGGGAAUAAGCUACGCACCCUUUGAUUUGAGCAUUUAUUAUGGCUACGGCGCAAGGAACGAAACUCAGACCCUACUCUUUCAACCGCCCACUUCUCUGGAAACCUCCAUCUACUACUGUUACUGCUACUGCUAUUACUACUGCUACCACCACCGCAGCCGCUGGAGCAACCCAAAGUCGUCUCUCUGUGUCGUGGCUCUUGCGGCUUGUUCAUUCCAAUGCCUCGCAGCCACAGCCAACAACGACCUCCGGUGUUACUUGGAGUUAGAUAUAUGCAACAGCAACAGCCAGAGUCCUUUCAAAGAUUAUUCUGCUCCGAGGCCACCGACGACAAGGAGAAGAUUAGGAAGAAAGCGAUAAACACCAAAGUAAACUUUUCUCUCUCCGAUUCUGAUUNNUUCUGAUUCGGAUUCUGACGAUAAUGAGAACAAGUCCAGUGUCGAAGCUAAGAAAGAAAUUGAAAAGAGCAAACUUCCUCCGCCUUACGAUCCCUUCAAUAAGAAGCCCGUCAUCGAGGAGCCCGAUGACCCCAAAGAC
RNAcentral lists this unclassified non-coding RNA (654 nucleotides) under Hevea brasiliensis (rubber tree). Lineage: Eukaryota; Viridiplantae; Streptophyta; Magnoliopsida; Malpighiales; Euphorbiaceae. The record is from RNAcentral.